This 130-nucleotide ribosomal RNA is filed under the name Enterococcus faecium. Its description in RNAcentral is "partial 23S ribosomal RNA". It matches the Rfam family "Bacterial large subunit ribosomal RNA", at positions 1 to 130 of the family's 2925-position model. Lineage: Bacteria; Bacillati; Bacillota; Bacilli; Lactobacillales; Enterococcaceae. RNAcentral also lists the same sequence under 1 other name. The record is from RNAcentral.
GGUUAAGUGAAUAAGGGCGCACGGUGGAUGCCUUGGCACUAGGAGCCGAUGAAGGACGGGACUAACACCGAUAUGCUUUGGGGAGCUGUACGUAAGCUAUGAUCCAGAGAUUUCCGAAUGGGGGAACCCA